CUGGCGGCGUGCCUAAUACAUGCAAGUCGAACGCAAUGCCUUCGGGUGUUGAGUGGCGAACGGGUGAGUAACACGUAGGUAACUUACCUCUAAGACGAGGAUAACGGCUGGAAACGGUCGCUAAAACUGGAUAGGACAAUUGGAGGCAUCUCUGAUUGUUUAAAGGGGCUUUCGGGCCACACUUAGAGAAAGACCUGCGGCGCAUUAGCUAGUUGGUGAGGUAGAGGCUCACCAAGGCGAUGAUGCGUAGCCGGACUGAGAGGUCGAACGGCCACAUUGGGACUGAGACACGGCCCAAACUCCUACGGGAGGCAGCAGUAGGGAAUUUUCGGCAAUGGGGGAAACCCUGACCGAGCAACGCCGCGUGAAUGAAGACGUAUUUCGGUAUGUAAAGUUCUUUUAUUAAGGAAGAAUGUCGUUGGUAGGAAAUGACUAACGAGUGACGGUACUUAAUGAAUAAGCCCCGGCUAACUAUGUGCCAGCAGCCGCGGUAAUACAUAGGGGGCAAGCGUUAUCCGGAAUUAUUGGGCGUAAAGGGUGCGUAGGCGGUCUAUUAAGUCUGAGGUGUAAGUGCAGGGCUCAACCCUGUGAUGCUUUAGAAACUGGUAGACUUGAGUGAGAUAGAGGCAAGUGGAAUUCCAUGUGUAGCGGUAAAAUGCGUAAAUAUAUGGAGGAACACCAGUGGCGAAGGCGGCUUGCUGGGUCUAUACUGACGCUGAGGCACGAAAGCGUGGGGAGCAAACAGGAUUAGAUACCCUGGUAGUCCACGCUGUAAACGAUGAGUACUAAGUGUUGCGAUAACGCAGUGCUGAAGUUAACAUAUUAGUACUCCGCCUGAGUAGUACGUACGCAAGUAUGAAACUCAAAGGAAUUGACGGGACCCCGCACAAGCGGUGGAUCAUGUUGUUUAAUUCGAAGAUACCCGAAAAACCUUACCAGGUCUUGACAUACUCUGCAAAGCUAUAGAGAUAUAGUGGAGGUUAACAGAGAUACAGGUGGUGCAUGGUUGUCGUCAGCUCGUGUCGUGAGAUGUUGGGUUAAGUCCCGCAACGAGCGCAACCCUUAUUGCUAGUUACCAUCAUUAAGUUGGGGACUCUAGCGAGACUGCCAGUGAUAAACUGGAGGAAGGUGGGGAUGACGUCAAAUCAUCAUGCCCCUUAUGACCUGGGCUACAAACGUGAUACAAUGGCUAAAACAAAGAGAAGCGAAGCAGUGAUGUGGAGCCAAACUCAGAAAAAUAGUCUCAGUUCGGAUUGGAGUCUGCAACUCGACUCCAUGAAGUCGGAAUCGCUAGUAAUCGCAAAUCAGCAUGUUGCGGUGAAUACGUUCUCGGGGUUUGUACACACCGCCCGUCAAACCACGAAAGUUGGUAAUGCCCAACGCCGGUGGCCUAACUCGCAAGAGAGGGAGCCGUCUAAGGCAGGAUCGAU
This 1430-nucleotide ribosomal RNA is filed under the name Acholeplasma brassicae. Its description in RNAcentral is "bacterial SSU rRNA". It matches the Rfam family "Bacterial small subunit ribosomal RNA". RNAcentral also lists the same sequence under 1 other name. The record is from RNAcentral. Lineage: Bacteria; Bacillati; Mycoplasmatota; Mollicutes; Acholeplasmatales; Acholeplasmataceae.